This 1588-nucleotide ribosomal RNA is filed under the name Listeria booriae. RNAcentral describes it as "partial 23S ribosomal RNA". It matches the Rfam family "Bacterial large subunit ribosomal RNA", at positions 1 to 1579 of the family's 2925-position model. The record is from RNAcentral. Lineage: Bacteria; Bacillati; Bacillota; Bacilli; Caryophanales; Listeriaceae.
AUGGUUAAGUUAGAAAGGGCGCACGGUGGAUGCCUUGGCACUAGGAGCCGAAGAAGGACGGGACUAACACCGAUAUGCUUUGGGGAGCUGUACGUAAGCGUUGAUCCAGAGAUUUCCGAAUGGGGGAACCCACUAUCUUUAGUCGGAUAGUAUCCUUACGUGAAUACAUAGCGUAAGGAAGGCAGACCCAGGGAACUGAAACAUCUAAGUACCUGGAGGAAGAGAAAGAAAAAUCGAUUUCCUGAGUAGCGGCGAGCGAAACGGAAAGAGCCCAAACCAAGAAGCUUGCUUCUUGGGGUUGUAGGACACUCUAUACGGAGUUACAAAGGAAUGUGGUAAACGAAGUGGUCUGGAAAGGCCCGCCAAAGAAGGUAACAGCCCUGUAAUUGAAAGCAUAUUCCCUCCAGAGUGGAUCCUGAGUACGGCGGAACACGUGAAAUUCCGUCGGAAUCCGGGAGGACCAUCUCCCAAGGCUAAAUACUCCCUAGUGACCGAUAGUGAACCAGUACCGUGAGGGAAAGGUGAAAAGCACCCCGGAAGGGGAGUGAAACAGUUCCUGAAACCGUGUGCCUACAAGUAGUUAGAGCCCGUUAAUGGGUGAUAGCGUGCCUUUUGUAGAAUGAACCGGCGAGUUACGAUUUGUUGCAAGGUUAAGCGGAAAAAGCGGAGCCGUAGCGAAAGCGAGUCUGAAUAGGGCGCAUGAGUAACAGGUCGUAGACCCGAAACCAGGUGAUCUACCCAUGUCCAGGAUGAAGGUGAGGUAAUACUCACUGGAGGUCCGAACCCACGCACGUUGAAAAGUGCGGGGAUGAGGUGUGGGUAGCGGAGAAAUUCCAAUCGAACCUGGAGAUAGCUGGUUCUCUCCGAAAUAGCUUUAGGGCUAGCCUCGAGGUAAAGAGUCGUGGAGGUAGAGCACUGUUUGGACUAGGGGCCCUUCUCGGGUUACCGAAUUCAGAUAAACUCCGAAUGCCAUGUACUUAUACUCGGGAGUCAGACUGCGAGUGAUAAGAUCCGUAGUCGAAAGGGAAACAGCCCAGACCACCAGUUAAGGUCCCAAAAUAUAUGUUAAGUGGAAAAGGAUGUGGGGUUGCAUAGACAACCAGGAUGUUGGCUUAGAAGCAGCCACCAUUGAAAGAGUGCGUAAUAGCUCACUGGUCGAGUGACCCCGCGCCGAAAAUGUACCGGGGCUAAACAUAUUACCGAAACUGUGGAUGAACCUCUUAGGAGGUUCGUGGUAGGAGAGCGUUCUAAGGGCGGUGAAGUCAGACCGGAAGGACUGGUGGAGCGCUUAGAAGUGAGAAUGCCGGUAUGAGUAGCGAAAGAAGGGUGAGAAUCCCUUCCACCGAAUAUCUAAGGUUUCCUGAGGAAGGCUCGUCCGCUCAGGGUUAGUCGGGACCUAAGCUGAGGCCGAUAGGCGUAGGCGAUGGACAACAGGUAGAUAUUCCUGUACCAGUGCUAGUUGUUUGAGCAAUGGGGUGACACAGAAGGAUAGGGAAUCGCACAGAUGGAAACGUGCGUCCAAGCAGUGAGUGUGAGAAGUAGGCAAAUCCGCUUCUCGCGAAGCAUGAGCUGUGAUGGGGAAGGAAAU